Molecule: ribosomal RNA, 447 nt
Filed under: uncultured bacterium
Lineage: Bacteria
Description: partial 16S ribosomal RNA
Rfam family: Bacterial small subunit ribosomal RNA
Source: RNAcentral
GCCCAGACUCCUACGGGAGGCAGCAGUGGGGAAUAUUGCACAAUGGGGGAAACCCUGAUGCAGCGACGCCGCGUGAGCGAUGAAGUAUUUCGGUAUGUAAAGCUCUAUCAGCAGGGAAGAAAAUGACGGUACCUGACUAAGAAGCCCCGGCUAACUACGUGCCAGCAGCCGCGGUAAUACGUAGGGGGCAAGCGUUAUCCGGAAUUACUGGGUGUAAAGGGAGCGCAGACGGCAGUGCAAGUCUGGAGUGAAAGCCCGGGGCUUAACUACGGGACUGCUCUGGAAUCUGUGCAGCUAGAGUGCAGGAGAGGCAGGCGGAAUUCCUAGUGUAGCGGUGAAAUGCGUAGAUAUUAGGAGGAACACCGGUGGCGAAGGCGGCCUGCUGGACUGUAACUGACGUUGAGGCUCGAAAGCGUGGGGAGCAAACAGGAUUAGAUACCCCAGUAC